UUGAAAGGGAAACGAUUGAAGUCGGUCAUGCUGGUGGGAAUCAACUUAGGGGAAACUCUAGGUGCACUUCUUCGCUCAGCAGGUUAACGUCGAUCUUGAAUGCCAUAAAAUAAUUGGGGGAAGGUAGCUCCUUCGGGAGUGUUAUAGCCCUUGAUAGAUGUGAUGUUUGGGGUCGAGGAUUGCAACGGAUACCUUUGGGGCUAGCCGCCUGAUCUCUAAUCGGUGUUGGGUUACGGAUAGCAUGCUGAUCGUGAUCUAAUUACUGGUUAAAAGGUUAGAGCGUGCAUAAAUUCGUUAAGGAUGUUGACGUA
This 311-nucleotide ribosomal RNA is filed under the name uncultured Glomeromycotina. RNAcentral's name for it is "LSU rRNA". The record is from RNAcentral. Lineage: Eukaryota; Fungi; Glomeromycota.